Molecule: ribosomal RNA, 429 nt
Filed under: Bacteroidota bacterium
Lineage: Bacteria; Pseudomonadati; Bacteroidota
Description: Bacteroidetes bacterium partial 16S ribosomal RNA
Rfam family: Bacterial small subunit ribosomal RNA
Source: RNAcentral
UAGGGAAUCUUCCGCAAUGGACGCAAGUCUGACGGAGCAACGCCGCGUGAGUGAAGAAGGAUUUCGGUUCGUAAAACUCUGUUGUUAGAGAAGAACAGCGCAUAGAGUAACUGUUAUGCGUGUGACGGUAUCUAACCAGAAAGCCACGGCUAACUACGUGCCAGCAGCCGCGGUAAUACGUAGGUGGCAAGCGUUGUCCGGAUUUAUUGGGCGUAAAGCGAGCGCAGGCGGUCAAUUAAGUCUGAUGUGAAAGCCCCCGGCUCAACCGGGGAGGGUCAUUGGAAACUGGUUGACUUGAGUGCAGAAGAGGAGAGUGGAAUUCCAUGUGUAGCGAUGAAAUGCGUAGAUAUAUGGAGGAACACCAGUGGCGAAGGCGACUCUCUGGUCUGUAACUGACGCGGAGGCUCGAAAGCGUGGGUAGCAAACAGG